This 819-nucleotide long non-coding RNA is filed under the name Brassica rapa (field mustard). RNAcentral describes it as "long non-coding RNA (BRAP_LNC000876)". The record is from RNAcentral. Lineage: Eukaryota; Viridiplantae; Streptophyta; Magnoliopsida; Brassicales; Brassicaceae.
AGAGAUCUAAAUGUAUUAAAAACAGAAAGUAAAUAAAAAAAAGAAAACAACCAGUGCUAGGAUCAUUAUCAGCCGGAAAUCAAAAAAAUUGUUUAACAACUGGUUGAAAAUAGCCAGUUGAGACUUGAGAGCGAAGAGAUGCGUAUUAGUGAGAGUGAGAUUAUGAUGAUUUGAUGGUGCAAAAAGAAUUGUGAAAAACACAAUUAUUAUUUUCUUCUGAUAUAUAGGAUUUGUCUCGGUGAUUUUUCUUGUUAGUUUUUUGGUACAAUUAAUUUUCCUAGGAUGGAUUCUAUUCUCAUAAGGCCUGGAAACAGUGGAGGGAAAAUCAUCGGAAUUCUCUCGCUAAAGCUUUUCUCGCUAAUUUGUAAGUUAAAUUGAUUAUGAUUGUCAGUAACUUCUUGGAGCAUGAAAUCAUCUUUCCCUUUUAUAAAUUUCAGUCUCUUGAAUCUCCCGGUUAAAAUAUCAUCAAAUGGUUUCAUGAGGACAACACAUGUUCUAAUAUUUCAACGGUUAUGUAUCUCAUUAUAUUGGUUUGUCUUUGGUCAACUUUUGUGUUCUAAUAUUUCAACGGUUAUGUUCUUCAGUCAAGUAUUGUGUUCUUUGGUUUAUAUGUUAUUGUUACUAACCGUACUCUCUAAACGUUGCAAGGCCAAGAUGUAUGGUGCAUGCAACAUGAUAAAGAUCAUGCCAUAGUUUCACAGAACAACACGACGCUUCCGUAAUACAUUUGGGAAACGAGGAGACACAACUUUCUAGCCCGCUUAUAGAUAGAGAUCGAUAAAUUCCCAUUCCAGAUCCAUUACCGAAUUUGUGAUGCCA